AAAGUAAAGUCCCUGGUUCCUAUUUAAUUUUUAUCUUUUGUUUUUUCAGGGCCCAGAUCCCAAACCUGAGAUCAUGAUGAUGGUGAGCCCAUCUCAUUCAGUUGAACCGUUGGUAUUGCUGGUCACAUGAUCCCACUCUGGACGGCAGCCCACCUCCCACACCACUCAUGGAAGAUUUAUGACGAUGAAGUCUGAGACCCCUUCACCGUCCUGCCAGCCUGAAACUCCCUCCGCUUUCUGACUUUAGAGGUAAGAAUAAAGUGAUCGAUCAAAUAUCUGACAGUAUUCUCUUUAACUGUGACUGUAAAAUGCUUUUUUGUGAAUUUUGUUAGUUUUUUUGUGUAAACAAGCAGUUCUCCAGUAUAAAAAGCUUCCUGCUGAAGAACAAUCAAAGUUUUUGAUCUAUAUAAAUUUAAGUAGA
Molecule: long non-coding RNA, 421 nt
Filed under: Takifugu rubripes (torafugu)
Lineage: Eukaryota; Metazoa; Chordata; Actinopteri; Tetraodontiformes; Tetraodontidae
Description: lncRNA (ENSTRUG00000031433.1)
Source: RNAcentral